RNAcentral lists this long non-coding RNA (9421 nucleotides) under Homo sapiens (human). RNAcentral's name for it is "HSALNT0389385". Lineage: Eukaryota; Metazoa; Chordata; Mammalia; Primates; Hominidae. The record is from RNAcentral.
AUUUCUUAAUUCCUCUAGCACUGCUGGGUUAGGGUCUCCCCGACUGAGUUGGUCUCGGCACUAGUCUGUGUCCCUGGCUUGCCCUUCCCUCCAACUCUGUCCUGCAGGAUCUCUCUCUCUCAUUAAUAAUAACUAGCUUUUCCAUAUGAGCCAUCCAACUCUGUCGGCUGGGAACUUCUACCCUCAUUGCCUUCUUUGGGUUUUCAGACAGUUAUAGGAGUCAGAGCAGAUAUUCAAAUUCUCAUUUUACAGGUGAGCAAGUUGAGGUUCUGGGAGGACAUAAUAGUUAGUAGGUGGCAGGGCUGGGACUUGAAAGCAGAACUUCUGCCUCCAUAUCUGUGCACACAGCACCACCUCUGCAGUCCCUGUACCAUGAUUUUCUUUGUGCCUUGCUCUCUGUUGUUUUCCAGAACAGUCCUUAGAGGUAAAGUGGACACUUCAUCUGCCUUACCAGUGCCCAUGCACGUCCUCAUCUUCCUUACCAAGAGAACCCAGAACUGGUUCAGAGAUCCAGGCCUCCCACCUCAGGUGACUCCACCCUCAGACUGAUCUGAGGAUAAUCCCAUUCCCCCUAACAAUGGGAAGGGCCAUGUGAACCAAUUCUGGCCAAUGAGAGAGGGAAAAGAGUCUGUUAGGAAACUUAGGGAAAACCUCUCCUCUCUUCUAAGAGACUCAUAAGAAGAGAGCUUCUCUUCCUCCUCUGGACGCUGUCCUGUGUGUAGCACUCAGGACUGCUGAAGACAUCUAGGUAACAGCUUGAAGGUGAAACCAGCACUGAGGUUUCCUGAUUCCUGGGUGGAGCGCAGACUGGAGCCUAAGCCCUGACAGCAUGGGACUUGCAGCUCAAGUAUAUCUGUGCUUCACUGGAAGAGUUGAAAGAGCUGGAGACUGUCUGUGAUCAAUGAGCCCCUGUCACUCUCAUGACACUUUCCUGAACCAUUUCACCAGCACUCAGGCAGAAGAGGAGGACAGCAGGUGAAGUCAGAGAGAUUCAAAGCACAAGGAUUCAACUUUCUGUUGCUGGCCUUGAAGAUGCAGGAGGCCAUGAGCCAAGGAAUGCAAGCAGCCUCUGGAAGUUGAAAACGACCUAAGUGCUCAGUCCUACAGCUGCAUGGAACUGAAAUCUGCCAACACCCUGAGUGAUCCGGAAGUGGAUUUUCUCCCAAAGCCUCCUGAUAGGAGCCCCAGCCAGCUGACAGAUUGACUUCAGCACUAUGACAUCAAAGAGCCCACCCAAGGCUGUUACUGGAAGGAGGGCCUUGAGUGUAAGUUAUUCAGUUUCUUGGCGUUUUGAACAAAGACUUGGACAAAACACACAAAGUAACAAAGGACUGAAACAUAGGAACGAAGUAGGGAAAGCAGGAAUGUAUUAAAGUGAAAAAGGACCCCACAGGGUGGGAGUCGGCCCAAGCAGGUGGCUCAAGGGCCCAGUUGCAAAGUUUUCUGGGUUUUAAGUUCUCCUGUUCAGAUUCCUAUUGGCUACCCUUUAUCUGGAUGAAGAAUUUGGCCUGUGGCUAAUUAAAGGAUGAAGUGAAUUGGUGUCCUAUGCGAUGAAGGGAUGGUCCCUGCUUGGUCCUCGGCCCAUCGAAGGCACUCUCCCUGUCCAUCUGAGACAUUGAGUAGCCUUUGCUCCUUUGCUACUCUGGAGCGGGGAGGUGGGGUUUUUCCUUUUGGUUUAGCUUUAGGAAGUUGGUUUAAUUGGCCUUAGCUUCCCUGACCGUAGACCCAGGUGCUAUCCUUUUGAUUCAGCUUUAGGAAGUCAGCACGAAUUGGCCUCAGAUUCCGUGUCCCCACACCUUGGUGUUUUUCCUGGAUUCAGCACCAAUUGUCCUUAAGUUCCCUGCCUCCAGACCCUUAUUCUCCUUCCUGAAGACAGCUUGAACUUCUGACCCACAGAACUAGGAGCUAAUAAAUGAGUGUAGUUUUAAGCCACCGAGUUUGGCAAUUUGUUACAACAGCUGUCGAAAAUGAAUGUAAUCUACAAAAUAGGAGACUGUCACUUAGGGGAGGGACAGUAAUGCGUUGUGAGCACCUGGAGGGCAGAAACUGGGUGUUAUUUAUUUGGAGGCCUUACAGCCUGAUAUGUAGUAAAUGCUCAAUAAAUAUAAGUGAAUGAAUCAAUGAAUAAAUGUUAAAAGGAUAAGCAAAGGAGCCAGGCUCAGUCUAUAAAUUAAUGAUUUCCCAAAUAGCUGCAGAUUCCAGGAUGUGUUCAACCGAGAGGCAAGGGUGCUGAGAGGUUAGCGCUUAAGAGUCUGUUGUCUGGAGUCUGAGGUCUAAUCUCAGUUUGGUCUGCUAGCUGUGUGACCCUUGGGCAAGUUACCUAACUUCUCUAUGCCUUUAUUUUUCCACCUGCAAAGUUAGGAUAGUAACAGUAACUACCUCAUAGGGUUGUCACAAGGAUUAACUAAAGGAUGUACCUCAAGCUCUUAGAACAGUGGCUUGCCAUAGUAAAUAUUCAGUACAUAUUUGCAAUUAUUUCACAGAUGGAAUCAAAAUGAUCUGAUUUCAAUUUUUGUUUCUCCAACAAGGUACUCGAUUGGUCUCCACACCCCACCCCCUCAUACACACUCAUACACCCCCUCAUACACAUUCCAAAGCUUCAUUUUCUCAUUUAUAAAACAAAGAGAUGAACAUUAAGAACAUUCUUUAUUUUAAAAACCUCUGUCAUGUUAAAAAGCAGUGGGCACUGUUAUUUUAAUCUAGGCAAAGCCCUGUAGUUCUCACUGUUGCUGGCUUUUCAAAGUGGAAUUCAUCAGCAAAUAACGUUACUAAUGCUGCAAAUGAGUGGGGCUGGGUGGGGUUGGGCUGGCUCUCACCCUGCCCUCCAGAUGCAAUGAGUGUGGGGACACUGGUGACUUCUACAAAGGCUCAUUGAAAAGGUCCAGUCCAGCAGCGGCUUGGUCUAAGGUAAGGCUUCUUUUCUCAUUGAUUAGCUGAGCAGGGGGAGAGGAAGCUAUUAGUUUUAUUGUUGUUUUUCUUUAUUGGACUCACAAGGCCUCAAUGCCAUAAACCCAUAAACCAGAACUGGAUACAAUCUAUUCUUAAUUAUACAGGGACAGAUGAUCUGCAUUACAAAUUGUCCACAGCAAACCUUGCUCACUAAUUAUUGAUGAGAUUGUCAGUCACUUGCCCUGCCUAAGCUCAUGUUGGCAUAAAUGGCCCCAUUACUUACUGCGGACUUAGAAGGCCUUAUAUUAGAAAUGCUUAUGUGUGGACAUUUCUCUGCCUGCCUCCCUAGAAGAGAAGUUGCUUCGCAGUGGGCACUGUGCUAUCUAUGAAACACAUUGAAUGUAUGCCCCAACCAUGACCUUCCUUCCAGAACAGAGGAAGGGAGCCAAGCCAGCCAUUAUAGCUAUGUCUGUAUUCAGCUCUAAGCAUCAGGACCCAAACUCCAAGACAAUGCCUGUCCUGUUUAGGCCAGUGUUUUGCAUCGGUGUUUAGGGAAAAUCUCUAUAAUAGAAACUAUAGAAGGAGAGGGGACUGUCUUAGGGCAUGUCAGAACAUGCCCAGAUUAUUUCAUAGCCCAUAGCACCGAACAUACCAAUGUUCAAGGGUGAGCACUCAAGCAGCUUGUGAAGCCCCAGGUAAAUGAUGCUCAGCUGCCACGGUUUCAUUUUAUUCAGUCACAGCAUGGGCAAUUAAGAAUAAACUGCAUUUGAUUUCUCUGUGGUUGAGAAAGGAUCUUGAUGAGAUGUCAUCCUGGGGCUGAGUGUGUAGGUCCCAGGCAGACAUGUUCUGGGCUCCUGGAGCUGAGGGUGGGGAUGAGCAAGCCUCUGCUUGGGUUUAUCUCAGCCAGAGCUACAGGCCUUUUGGAUUGUUUUCUUUCCUGUGCCCUAGCCUUGAACUCUUGGCACAGUUCGGAAAUCCGUUUUCAUAAAACCGAUUUAUUUUUCCAUUUAUUUGAUUAAUUGAAAUUGCUAAUACUCUGGCCUCUAGGUCAUAAACACUGGAUAAUAAAACCCCCUCUACAUCUGUCCAGUAUUUUAGUGUUCACUAAGCAUUUCACAUCCAUCAUCUCAAAGGUAGGCAGGGAAGGGAUCGCCAUCUUUAGUUCAUGGAGAGGGUGACAUGUGUUGUCAAUGAUUACAGUUAGUAUGGAGCAGAGCUGGGGCUGGAAGCUGGUUCUUAGAGUCUGAGUCUAGUUCUCUUGUGGGGUGGCUAACAAGAGAAUGAAUGGCUCUUGUUGAAAUUAUUCCAGUUUACCCCAGGACUGAGUUGAUUUUUAGGAUCUGAGGCUUUUAAUUUUAAAACUGGGUAAGUUCUGGGCAAAUUGGGAGGAGCUUGUCACUCUACUUCAGAAUCCCAGGGUGUCUGUUGUGAUAGAGCCCUGUCACCUCCAUCAGGUUCAGGGGAGGGAGGUGGCAUGUGACUUGGCACAGGUGAGGCAGAUGUUGUACCUGGAGCAGCCAACCAGGGCUGCUAGCUGAGAACAGCCAGAAGAACCUUAUGGAUGAUCAGAGAGUGGCAGGAGAUCCAUCUAAGUCAGAUCUUGGGGUGGGGUUUGAUGGGUUGUGGAGGGACAGGAGGUACUGGUGAUGGAGUGACCCCUCCUGCCUAGGCUGCUUGUGGAGACAGUUCGUAGGAGAAGGAUUCGGAAGCCUGAGAGUGCUGAGCCGGAGAGGGGACACUAACAGGAACUGCCUGGCAAGAAAGACCCAUGAGAGAGACACCGAUGGCCUAAAGACAAAGACAGGGCAGAGGCACCAUGGUGGAUUGAUGGGAUGAUGGGGGAUGGAGGGAAAACGUCAGAGAAGGAGCAGACAGAGAGAGGAGGGAGGGUCCAUGAGGUAGUUUCAGUUGGAGAAGAGUUUUGGGGCCCUCACUUGCCAUCCACAGAAUCUCUGUCCUUGUGGGCUACAGCCUCCUUCCCUCCAGCCUAGAGAUUAAACCCUUCCUAAUAAACCAGCCAAUCUAAUUUAGUUGGGGUGGAAGGAGAGGGAAAAUGAUUUGUUCAAAGUGGCCUGAGCCUGAGCUGAGUCUUGAGCUCUCCAGUCCAGGUUAAUGGGCUUUUAGCCUUGAAUCAGGGCAAGAGCCAGGCAGGCCACGUGGCUCAUGGAUGUACUCCCUUGUCAGCCUCACUGUGUCCUUGACCCAGUCCCAGGACCUCUGGCCCUGGGAACUUACAUGCCUUCCCCAGUCUCUGAAGGAUGGGAUCUCAUGUCUUGGUUCCAUUCCCUUGCUUGUUAGCAUUUUGCCUUUAUUAAUUUGAAGAAAUUCAAAUCUUAUUGAGAAAUCAUUAAGUUAAACCAAACCCAGAACAAAUCAACUGAGUAGAAAAUUGCAGAUACCAGCUGCACUUUUUCCUUCCCACCCAGAGUGGAGAAAGGACUGUUUUUGUGAUUACCACAGAGGCAAGCAGGGAGAGUGAGGCACCUGCACUGGGCAUGUGGUCACCAUGUGACUGGCCAGAAAGCCCCAGGAGUUGGUUGCAAUAUGGGAAACCGUGUAAUGCUGCAGGGAAUAUAAAUAAGACAGAAGGAAUCAGCUAACAGAUGGGAUUUCUUAUCCUUUUUUGUUAUGGCAACCAGGUAGGAUGUUAUAACCUGCAUUUUAGUUUUCCCUUCUGCCCGCUAGUCUCGAUGUUUUAUCUAAUUUGUAGUUUUCUUAGUCUUGAUAUAUUUAAUUUAUAUCUUUUACUUUAUUACAUAUAUGUCUUGAAAGCUGCUUCAAAUCCUCUGUGGAACAAAGUGAGGAAUAAAUAUACAGUCUGACGAGCCUCUCCACUAGUGUCCUUUUUGGAGCGUAGUGCCACAGUAUAAGACUAAGUAACUAGGGAAGAAGGAUGGCGGAGUGGUCAUGCAUGCCUCCGCAAUACCUUGUCUCAGUUGGUGUGCAGAAGGGGGCACUCAGCCACCUCUAAGUUGUGCCAGUGCUUCCUAGACUCAGGAGAAGCAAGUGAACAUGGCUCUGUGUGAGCUGGCAAAGAAGAGUGUCCACCGCAGCUCUUGGCUCCUGGCGCAAAGUCACCCUGUCUCAGGAUCUUAUUGAAUUGUGAUUUCAUGAAUAUCCUCAUAAAGAAGCCAGUCUAUCUUUCUGGAGCUUUUUUCUGGAGCUUCUGGGUUCUCAUAUUUUAUAUUCUCAGUCUGAGUUUACCAUCUAGGGGGGCAGGGGGACCUAUUGUAACCUGCUCGGGUGAAUUGAGAUACGUCUUAUAAAAUUCUUGGGUUAUUGCAAUAGCUUCCUAACUAGCAUCUCUGCUUCAUUCUUGCCUCCCUACAACCCACUGAUUGAUCAUUAAAAAAAUGUAAAUCAUCACUAUGCCACUUCCCUCUGUAGAACCUUGCAUUGCUCUUGGCGUAAAAUCCAUGGUUCUUCCCAGGCUUUCAAGACCCUGCGUGAUCUGGACCCUACAUAUUCUUGUCUCCCUUGUCAUUCUUCUUUUGGCUUUCUGAAUAUGCCCAAUGUAUUCCUGUCUUGAGUUUUUGCUUUGCUUCUUCAAUUAUUAUUGCUUGUUACAGGAUUUUCCUGUUUCUUCAUGUAGUAAGUUCUUUCUUAUUCUUUAGGUCUCAAAUCUCAUCUUAGACCUGCCUUCUCUCCCAAUCCAUCUAAACUGGCUCCAUCCCUUUCACUCUGCUCGACCUCAAAAUUAUCCAUCACAUCAUGCUACUUACAUCCAGCAUUUACCACGAUCUGCAAUUAUCUUCUUUAUUUUCUCAUUUGUUCAUUAUACACCUCUCUGAGCAGUAUAUAAGCUUCAGAGGGCAGAGACUUGAUCUGUUUUGAUCUCAGCUAUAACUGAGCCACACCUAGCAUCUAGCACUGUGGCUGGCAUGUAGGAAGUUCUUAAUAAAUAUUUGUGAGAUUAAUGUAUCAAUGACUUAAACCAAAAGUUCACAAACUAUGGCUCAUGAACCAAAUCCAGCCUGUUGCCUGUUUGUGUAAAUAAUGUUCUGUUGGAACACAGCCUAUUCACUUACAUAUGUUACAUGAUUAUGUAUUGUCUGUGGCUGUUUUUGGUGCUACCAUGGCAGAGUUGAGUACUUGCAACAGAGAUCAUAUAGCCUGCAAUGCUGGAAAUAUUUACUAUCUGAUCCUUUACAGAAAAUGUUUGUUGACCCUUGGCUUAAACCAUAACCCUAACAAUGGCUUAAUCCAUAUGGGUAUUUAGCGUUUCACUUAAUGAGAAACAGAAGAUCUCAGGGUCAGUUCAGUGGCUCAGUGAUGUCAUUCAGAACUCACAGUCCUGCUAUUUUGUGCUCCUCUGUGCUGGAAAUAUCUUGCCUCAAAGGUCUAAGAUGGCUGCCACAGCUGUACACAUGAUGUCUUUACACAUCAGAGUUGUAAGGAAAAAGGAGUUUAGUGAGAGCAAAAACUGGCUUUCACAUGCUCAGCGCUUGCCCAGUGAUUGACAAGAAGGUGAUUGACUGCCAUGAUUGGCUUAGAUUGGCUUAGAUUGGCCGUGAUUGACUGCCAUGAUUAGCUUAGGCCAGUCAUGAUUCAUGCCUUGAGGUUGGGCAUAACACUUGUAGUGAGCAGAGAAGAAGGCAGACCUCUGUCCACUUGUAUGAAUGAAGCAUACUCAGUUUCCUCAAACUCAAGGUGGUUGUGAUUAAGGACUGAAGUUGUCUACUCUCUCCCCUUGAUAGAAUUAGAAAUGGAUGGGCACAUUAUUACUCUUUUUUCCUUUUCUAGCUUUCAGGGGGAUCUUCUAUCUAAUCCUUCACCCUCUUCACCAUUUUCCUCCCACUCGCUCCCAGCCUUGACCAUGUAACAUAACUUCAGGCAAGUAGAUCUCAGCUGACUUCAUAACAGUCUCACUUGAUUCAGAUUUUCCUAAGAGGACAGCCUGGCCUCAUUAUAAAGAUUUAGGAACACCAGUUGGGACUGUAAAAUGUUCCCAAUUCUAUUCCCCACCAGCCAAGUCUGAUGCUUUAAACUCCACUAUGCAAGGGACAUUUUAGUUUAAUGCAUUGUUGUUCAGAAUGUCUCUGUUAAAAUGAAUGGUAUUUUCAAAAGACCAUGCAUGAUGUGAGCUUAUGGCUUAAUCUCAAAGGUAUGACAUCACAUAUCAUCUUGGACAACAGAAAUCUUGACCUUGAGAGGAGCAGGGAGAAUGUUAUCAUGGAAAUAGCACAGAAUCAUGAGAUACCUAGAUUCCAGUUCUUGUUUGUCUGUUGCUCUGUUAUCCACCUUAGGUAAAUUCACUUUCUCUUUCUGGACCUCACCUCCCUCAUCUGUUUGAUGAAAGAGUUGGAUUCAGUGAUCUUUGAGGGCCCUUUCAGCUGGUGAAGAGGGAUUGGCCACACACUUUGUACAGUUUCAUGUCCACAUCACUGCCUUCAUUCACUCCUUAUUUCUUGAGCCAUUCUUCCGAUCCAUAUUUAUUAAGAACUUUCCAUGUGCUAGGAGUUUUCCUGGAUGCUGGGAGGGUAGCACUCCUGCUCUCUUGAAGCUUACUGUCGAAUGGGGAAGACAGAAAGAGUAAACAAGUAAUAUAACACCGUGAGACAAGUGUGAGGAAAGAGGAGACAAGAUCGCAUCACAGGCUCAUUUCAGUCCAAGGCAGAGAGGGAAGGUGUUACCUUAUACAAGGGGUCAAGUGUGGCUCCCCAGAUAUGGAGAUGUUUGAGCCUGAAGGAAGAUUCUGAGUUGACUAAGCUAAAAAAGUGUGGUGGGAGAAGAAUCUCUCCAGUAGGGGUAUUGGCAUGUGUUAAGAACUGUUAGUAAACUGUGUAUCAUUUAUGCUAUAUCAGGUUCACCAUUUCUCAGUCAAUUCACUUGCUGUGUGGCCCAUUCAAAAUGACAAUGGAAAGAAGAAUCAGAUAAAUUUAAGAAGAACCUGAGCCAAGUUUAUCCAACCAAUCACCACUGGGAUCACAGUUAAUAUCUAUUUCAUUACUUAAAUAAACAUAUACUAUACAUUUUAAGCAUGCCACGUAUAUCAGAUUCAUUGCUUUAAAAUAGAAUUAUCAAAUUGUCACAGUGUGCUAGGCACUUGGCCAGAGCCAGAGAAGGGAAGUAGAAGAGGACACAGACCAUAGUCUCCAGGAGCUCAGAGCUUAGUGUGGAGACAGUUGAGAACAUUAACAGCACGAGUACAGUAUGUUCCCAGGCACACAGAGGAUGCUGACACUAUCAGGCUGGGGCCAGGAAAGCUUUCAGAAGGCCAUGAGCCCCCUGAACUGAAAUUAUUUCUUAUUUAUUUAUUUUACUGUGGUAAAAUAAACAUAACAAAGUUUAUUGUUUUAACCAUUCUUAUGUGUAUCAUUCAGAGGCAUUGAGUACAUACACAAUGCUAUACAACCAUCACCACCAUCCAUCCCUAGAAACCACUCAUCAUCCCAGACAGAAACCCUGUGCCCGUGCAGCAAACACUCCCCAUUUCCCAAUCACCCCAGCUCCUGGAAACCUCGAUUCUACUUUCUGUCUCUGUGAAUUUGCCUACUCUAGACACUUCACAUAAAUGGAAUCACACAGUAUU